UACGUAGGUGGCAAGCGUUAUCCGGAAUUAUUGGGCGUAAAGCGCGCGUAGGCGGUUUCUUAAGUCUGAUGUGAAAGCCCACGGCUCAACCGUGGAGGGUCAUUGGAAACUGGGAAACUUGAGUGCAGAAGAGGAGAGUGGAAUUCCAUGUGUAGCGGUGAAAUGCGCAGAGAUAUGGAGGAACACCAGUGGCGAAGGCGGCUCUCUGGUCUGUAACUGACGCUGAGGCUCGAAAGCGUGGGGAGCAAACAGG
This 253-nucleotide ribosomal RNA is filed under the name uncultured bacterium. Its description in RNAcentral is "partial 16S ribosomal RNA". It matches the Rfam family "Bacterial small subunit ribosomal RNA", at positions 524 to 776 of the family's 1533-position model. The record is from RNAcentral.